UCAGAAUUCAUCGAUAUGUAACCCUGAUCAAAAAGUCCCAACCAGUGAGACUCUUGACCCCGGUACCCAUAAUGUGUGGAACUCGUGAUCAGAGAAUCCUGAUUCUCGAUCACUGAGUCUCAAACAUAUAGGAUUCUACAUCAGCCAUCAGAUCAGAUAGGAACCUCUAAUGUGUGUGACCCUGUAGGUUCGAACCUAAGCCGGUAGCACAGGAACCAAUUCCUGUACUAAUCGAAGUGACCAUCUAGCAAUGGUACCCGACAUCCGGAUAGGUCGAAGAGUCACAAUCGC
This 291-nucleotide long non-coding RNA is filed under the name Elaeis guineensis (African oil palm). RNAcentral describes it as "long non-coding RNA (EGUI_LNC049429)". Lineage: Eukaryota; Viridiplantae; Streptophyta; Magnoliopsida; Arecales; Arecaceae. The record is from RNAcentral.